AAAAAAAUUAUCAUCCAUGAAAAAUGUUUAGAUAUAAAUUGUUAUUGAUAAUAAAAAGAUUUUAUCAACUCACGAUUUCAAGCGAUAAAAAAAUUAUUUACAGGAAUUUUUUUUCCAAAUUUUUUUUUCCACGAAACAAACGUAUUAAAUUUUAAGAUUACAUAAAAGAACUAAAGAUUCUUCAUGAUUUAGGGCGUGCGUGCGCACACAUAUAUAUGUGCACGUUUAAAGUCAGAACUCGAAGAAUAUUUAUUUCUAUGCUCGCCAUGUAAAAGUCAACUUUGUUUACAUUGUUACCACGUGGCAUAAGUUUGCCACAUUGUCUAUAUUCGACUAAUUAACAUUUGUUUAUUG
RNAcentral lists this long non-coding RNA (354 nucleotides) under Eucalyptus grandis. RNAcentral describes it as "long non-coding RNA (EGRA_LNC007550)". Lineage: Eukaryota; Viridiplantae; Streptophyta; Magnoliopsida; Myrtales; Myrtaceae. The record is from RNAcentral.